UUCGGUGGGGAUUAGUGGCGAACGGGUGAGUAACACGUGGGCAAUCUGCCCUGCACUCUGGGACAAGCCCUGGAAACGGGGUCUAAUACCGGAUAUGACCCUCGCAGGCAUCUGUGAGGGUGUAAAGCUCCGGCGGUGCAGGAUGAGCCCGCGGCCUAUCAGCUUGUUGGUGAGGUAACGGCUCACCAAGGCGACGACGGGUAGCCGGCCUGAGAGGGCGACCGGCCACACUGGGACUGAGACACGGCCCAGACUCCUACGGGAGGCAGCAGUGGGGAAUAUUGCACAAUGGGCGAAAGCCUGAUGCAGCGACGCCGCGUGAGGGAUGACGGCCUUCGGGUUGUAAACCUCUUUCAGCAGGGAAGAAGCGAAAGUGACGGUACCUGCAGAAGAAGCGCCGGCUAACUACGUGCCAGCAGCCGCGGUAAUACGUAGGGCGCAAGCGUUGUCCGGAAUUAUUGGGCGUAAAGAGCUCGUAGGCGGCUUGUCGCGUCGGUUGUGAAAGCCCGGGGCUUAACCCCGGGUCUGCAGUCGAUACGGGCAGGCUAGAGUUCGGUAGGGGAGAUCGGAAUUCCUGGUGUAGCGGUGAAAUGCGCAGAU
RNAcentral lists this ribosomal RNA (600 nucleotides) under Streptomyces hyderabadensis. Its description in RNAcentral is "bacterial SSU rRNA". It matches the Rfam family "Bacterial small subunit ribosomal RNA", at positions 81 to 695 of the family's 1533-position model. Lineage: Bacteria; Bacillati; Actinomycetota; Actinomycetes; Kitasatosporales; Streptomycetaceae. The record is from RNAcentral.